Molecule: long non-coding RNA, 569 nt
Organism: Oncorhynchus kisutch (coho salmon)
Lineage: Eukaryota; Metazoa; Chordata; Actinopteri; Salmoniformes; Salmonidae
Exons: 3
Source: RefSeq, a predicted model, not a curated record
CUUUAUGAGGUGCAACCAAAACAGCUGUUUGACAUAGCAACAGGGAUAUUCUGGCAGGCUGUCGAGAAUUAGUUCUUGAAUACUGUUGUGGUUUUGAUCACUAAAAUGGCUGUGACUUUUGGACUCUCUUUGAGUGUUUCUUGGAUUUGUUGCCUGCUAAUUGGAGGGAUAACUUGUUUUACACUUAAAGGUAACGCUCAUGGGCAUCCUGCCUACACUGGACCUGAACCGACUGGAUCCUAUGCCCAAGCAAGUGUGGUGUCUGGUCCAAAUGUUAAAGCUACUGGCCACAAUGCCACGUGAGCGGAAGCUACUGGCCACAAUGCCACGUGAGCGGAAGCUACUGGCCACAAUGCCACGUCAGCGGAAGCUACUGGCCACAAUGCCACGUCAGCGGAAGCUACUGGCCACAAUGCCACGUCAGCGGAAGCUACUGGCCACAAUGCCACGUCAAGUGUGAAGUCCGGCCCCUCAGCAGAAGCUUCAGGCCCCGGCGCCUCAGCAGAAGCUUCAGGCCCCUCAGCAGAAGCUUCAGGCCCCGGCGCCUCAGCAGAAGCUUCAGGCCCCGG